UACGAAGCGUGCGAACGUUGUUCGGAAUCACUGGGCUUAAAGGGCGCGUAGGCGGCUUGCCAAGUCGGGGGUGAAAUACUUCAGCUUAACUGGAGAAGUGCCUUCGAUACUGGCAGGCUUGAGGGAGGUAGGGGUCUGCGGAACUUCUGGUGGAGCGGUGAAAUGCGUUGAUAUCAGAAGGAACGCCGGUGGCGAAAGCGGCGGACUGGACCGCUUCUGACGCUGAGGCGCGAAAGCUAGGGGAGCAAACAGG
RNAcentral lists this ribosomal RNA (253 nucleotides) under uncultured bacterium. RNAcentral describes it as "partial 16S ribosomal RNA". It matches the Rfam family "Bacterial small subunit ribosomal RNA", at positions 524 to 776 of the family's 1533-position model. The record is from RNAcentral.